GAUCCACCUGCUUCGGCCUCUCAAAGUGCUGGGAUUACAGGCAUUAGCCACCAUGCCUAGCUUUCUAAUAGGCUUUUCAGCCAUAUGUUGUGAUUUCACCUGUGUAGGAGAUAGAUUACCGGUAGCGUCUCUCUUUUACAGGUGACAACCCAGAGGCUCUAAGACAGGGGUCCCCAACCCUAGUCUGUGGCUCAUUAGGAACAGGUUGCACAGCAGGAGGAAUACAAGCUCAGGGCUCCCACUGAUUGUACAUUAUGGUGAGACAUGGUCUUGUAACACGGUGGUUAAGAAUGUGAUUUUGGAGCCAGCCUGCUAGGGGCUGAAUUCUGACUCAACCAUUUACUAACUGUGUGACCUUAGGUCACAGAAUUUUCCACACUCCUUGAUGGAGGUGCUUAACCGUUAUCCAUCAGCAUUCUCAGACAGCACCUCCGGUUAGGGACAGUAUCUGACCGUCCGACAUCCCUGCAGCCCCCAUGCUGUCACACAGACUCAGCCUCAGGUAGAUGGUUUCUGUAGAUGGUGGCUUUCUUUGGACCCUUGAUAUCAACCAGUUAUUAUUUGGGCUGGGUUCCAUGUGUGUCUGAGCUCUCCACCACCUCGUCUACAGCAGUCUGUGACCCAAGUUUGAAGACCUGGUGCCAUAAGCCUACUGAUGUGGAACUCUGGAAGCAGAAUGCAGCUAUGGACGGUGCUCGGAGGAGCUGUGCCACCAACCCCACACACACUCACACCAGCUCUGGGCCGGGGGCCUCGGAUGGGCUGGGGGGCCCAGUUGUGCAGGAGGGGGCGGGCAAAUGGCGGGGGCCUUGGUCUUGGCUGCCAUGGCCAGAGGUGGGGGGGGUGGGGGGGUCGGGGGAUGGAGGCCUCAGUCCCUGCCCUCACUAGGUGGCCGGAGCAGGAGGCAGGCUGACCCACUUAGAGACUGGCUCCUUUCAAAGCAGCGUGGUUGUGACGAGGGCUGCUUUAAGUGGGUCAGCCUGCAUAUACACACUGGUCUUAAACUCUUCAAAACUUGGCUGUUAAACAUCUAGAUCCUGUUUUCAUUAGCUUGUAAGCCAUGGCCAUGGGGACCUGCCUGGUCUUCUGAAGCAGCAAGUGUGUCCAGAGGCUAAUAAACAGCAGGUGCCUCCAAUAAACAGGAUUUUAAUACUCGAUGUAAAUAUGGAUGCAAAUACAUGAAAAGAAAGGUGGGAUCUGAAUUAUAUGUGCAAGUUACACAAUUGCUCAGACGUUUUGCACUGAGAACUGUAGUGUGACUGUGGGUACCAUGUGUGUUUUACAGGUGCAGGAUGUGUGUACAGUGUGGGAGAGUGUGUUUUUGUGGAUGGACAUGUAUGUGGUGUGUAGUAGAGAGCAUGUGUGUCUGCGUGUACGUGCAUGUGUAUGAAGAGAAGACUCCACCACCAGAUUGGGUGGGGACAGAGCCAGCUACUUAAUUUGCAGGGUCCCAGUGUAAAAGAAAAACAUGGGGCCCUCAUUCAAAAUUACCAGGAAUUUCAACACAGAAACAACAGAGCAUCACCCCAAACUGGGGCCUUUCUGAGCACAGGGUGGGUCUCACGCCCACGGAGGAGUGCACCUCCUUGUCUCCCUCCAACCUUCCCAUGCCACUUUGGAAGGCCCCCGGGUCCCCCUUUGCUCUCUCCCCACCAGCUUCCCAGGGUGGCCUUGACCUUGGCAGUGUGGGGAAGUGGCCAAGGUGGGCUGGCAGAGUGGCUGAGGGCUGUGCUGGUCUUACCCUUUCCCGACCCUCCUCUUCCAGCCUGGGCCUCACUAGGGGAACCCCAGUCUGUAAGGUGUCUCUUGCCCUGGGCUGUUGGUUCAAAAAGGCUCCUCUGCAAGCUGCCACAGUGUUCUGGGAAGUCGUGAGGCCGCAGGAACAAUCUAAAGCAAACGUGUCCAGCCCGCUUUGAAUGCGGC
Nomascus leucogenys (northern white-cheeked gibbon) is the source of this 1923-nucleotide long non-coding RNA. RefSeq lists it as uncharacterized. Lineage: Eukaryota; Metazoa; Chordata; Mammalia; Primates; Hylobatidae. The transcript is spliced from 6 exons. The record is from RefSeq and is a predicted model, not a curated record.